This 253-nucleotide ribosomal RNA is filed under the name uncultured bacterium. RNAcentral's name for it is "partial 16S ribosomal RNA". It matches the Rfam family "Archaeal small subunit ribosomal RNA", at positions 474 to 727 of the family's 1478-position model. The record is from RNAcentral.
UACCAGCACCCCGAGUGGUCGGGACGAUUAUUGGGCCUAAAGCAUCCGUAGCCGGUCCUGCAAGUCUUCCGUUAAAUCCAGCUGCUCAACAGAUGGGCUGCGGGAGAUACUACAGGGCUAGGAGGCGGGAGAGGCAAGCGGUACUUUAUGGGUAGGGGUAAAAUCCGCUGAUCCAUAGAAGACCACCAGUGGCGAAGGCGGCUUGCCAGAACGUGCUCGACGGUGAGGGAUGAAAGCUGGGGGAGCAAACCGG